This 359-nucleotide long non-coding RNA is filed under the name Anser cygnoides (Swan goose). RNAcentral describes it as "lncRNA (ENSACDG00005000940.1)". The record is from RNAcentral. Lineage: Eukaryota; Metazoa; Chordata; Aves; Anseriformes; Anatidae.
AUGUCUGUGAAGAGAAUAACAACAACAACAACAAAAAAGCAUGCCUCUUACUUGUAUGUGGACCACAAACACUAUGAACGUGGCACUGUUUCUGCUUCUCAACAGGAGAAACAUGAAUGUCAAAACAUAGUACAUCUGACUGCUCCUUGGAUAACCAUCCAUGUCAAGUGUCACUUGUUUUGAUACAGGUACAAAACUACUUGGCCUUUCCAAGGCCUGAUGCAUCCCUGGAAAGAAACCUGGAGGCUUUAUUUAUUUGCAGGCCAUACGUCAUCUUUCAAUAGGAAAAAUAGUAAAUUUGGGAUUUAAUAGUCCAAACAGUGACAUAUAAAAUAAAAAAAUCAGGAUAAUUUUGUCCA